AGUUUUCGAUCCUGGCUCAGGAUGAACGCUGCGGCAUGCUUAACACAUGCAAGUCUAACGGGAAGUGGUGUUUCCAGUGGCGAAAACGGGUGAAGUAACGCGUAAGAACCCUGCCCUUGGGAGGGGACCAACACUGGAAACGGUUCUAAUACCCCAGUAGGCGCGGAGGCAAAAGGAGAAAUCCGCCCAAGGAGGGCUCGCGUCUGAUAGCUUAGUUGGAGCAUAGCUUACCAAGGCGAUGACAGUAAGCUGGUCCCGAGAGGAUAUCAGCCCACAACUGGGACUGAGCACGGCCGACGCCUACUGGAGGCAGCAGUGGGAAUUUUCCGCAAUGGGCGAAAGCCUGACGGCGCAAUGCCGCGUGGAGGUGGAAGGCCUACGGUUCGUAAACUUCUUUCCUCGGAGAAGAACAUGAGUAUCUGAGGAUGCAUCUCGCUAACUCUGUGCCCACCCGCGGUAAGGCAGAGGAUGCAAGCGUUAUCCGGAAAUGAUUGGGCGUAAAAAGCGUCUGUAGUUGCUUUUUCAAGUCCGCCGUCAAUCCAGGGCUCAACCCUGGCAGCGGUGGAAACUACCACUGGAGUACGGUGGGCAGAAGGGAAGUUCCGGUGGAGGUGAAAUGCAUUGAGAUCAGGAAAGAACACCAACGGCGGAAGCAAUCUCUGGGCCGACACUGACACUGGAGAGACGAAAGCCUAGGGGACGCAAAUGGGCAUAGAGACCCCAGUAGUCCUACCGUAAACGAUGAUCUAGGUGCUGUGGGCGACUCGACCCGUGCAGUGCUGUAGCUAACGCGUUAAGUAUCCGCCUGUGAGUAAACUUUCGCAAGACAAACUCAAAGAAUUGACGGGGGCCCGCACAGCGUGGGAGCAUGUGGUUUUAAUUCGAUGCAAGCGAAGAACCUUACUCAGGGCUUGAACAGCCGCGAAUCCUCUUGAAGAGAGGGUGCCCUCGGGAACGCGGACAACAGGUGGUGGUCAUGGCUGUCCGUCGCUCGUGCCGUAAGGUGUUGGUUUAAGUCUCGCAACGAGCGCAACCCUCGUGUUUAUUUGGCCACUAUGAGUUUGGAACCUGAACAGACCGCCGGUUUAAGCCGGAGGAAGGAGAGGAUGAGGCCACGUCAUCAUGCCCUUAUGCCUGGCGACACACGUGCUACAAUGGGCGGGACAAGGGUCGCGGAUCUCGCGAGGGUGAGCUAACUCCAAAAACCCGUCUCUCAGUUCGAUUGCAGGCUGCAACUCGCCUGCAUGAACGCAGGAAUCGCUAGUAUCGCCGUCAGCCAUACGCGGUGAAUCGUUCCGGCCUUGUUACAACACCGCCGCGUCACACUAUAGAGCUGUCCAGGUUUGAAGUCAUGACCCUUAACUUAACCGUAAGAGGGGAUGCCUAAGGCUAGGCUUUUUUGCGACUUGGAGUGAGUCUAAACAGGUACCGUACUGGGAAUGUGGCGGCUG
RNAcentral lists this ribosomal RNA (1451 nucleotides) under Saccharum spontaneum (wild sugarcane). RNAcentral describes it as "bacterial SSU rRNA". It matches the Rfam family "Bacterial small subunit ribosomal RNA". Lineage: Eukaryota; Viridiplantae; Streptophyta; Magnoliopsida; Poales; Poaceae. The record is from RNAcentral.